GAUGAACGCUGGCGGCGUGCCUAAUACAUGCAAGUCGAACGCAUUGAGAGAAGUGCUUGCACUUUUCAAUUUGCGUGGCGAACGGGUGAGUAACACGUGGGCAACCUACCUGAUAGCGGGGGAUAACGAGUGGAAACAUUCGCUAAUACCGCAUAACAAUGUAGAAGGCAUCUUCUUUAUUUAAAAGGCGCUUUCAAGCGUCACUAUCAGAUUGGCCCGCGGUGCAUUAGUUAGUUGGUGGGGUGAAGGCCUACCAAGACGAUGAUGCAUAGCCGAGUUGAGAGACUGAUCGGCCACAUUGGGACUGAGACACGGCCCAAACUCCUACGGGAGGCUGCAGUAGGGAAUCUUCCACAAUGGACGAAAGUCUGAUGGAGCAACGCCGCGUGUGUGAUGAAGGCUUUCGGGUCGUAAAGCACUGUUGUAUGGGAAGAAAUGCUAGGCUAGGAAAUGAGCUUAGUUUGACGGUACCAUACCAGAAAGGGACGGCUAAAUACGUGCCAGCCGCCGCGGUAA
Molecule: ribosomal RNA, 516 nt
Filed under: uncultured bacterium
Lineage: Bacteria
Description: partial 16S ribosomal RNA
Rfam family: Bacterial small subunit ribosomal RNA
Source: RNAcentral